Homalodisca vitripennis (glassy-winged sharpshooter) is the source of this 352-nucleotide long non-coding RNA. RefSeq lists it as uncharacterized. NCBI's taxonomy places the organism in Eukaryota, Metazoa, Arthropoda, Insecta, Hemiptera, Cicadellidae. The transcript is spliced from 2 exons. The record is from RefSeq and is a predicted model, not a curated record.
UCGCAGAACCAGCCUGUCUCGUCUUGACUUGUAAUUCCAUGACGUCACACCACACACUGAUCACUUGUGAGCCGACUUGCCCUACAGGAUACUACGCUGAGCCUCUGGUAGCGACUCCUAUCGUCUCAUGAUGUCUAGAUCACGUCUUGCCUCUAUGGAAGUGCAUAAAUUGUCAACAAAUAGUGACUGCGGCUGGAGGGCAAGUAGUUUUACACCAAGACAUAUGCAAGUGCAGGGGAAUAUGAAUAAUCUCAUCUCUGCCCUAUUGGUUACAUAAAGCACCGCUGCAAUACAAGAUGGGUCGUUGUAAUUGUAUACUUAAAGUGAUACUAAAUUAUACCAAUUUUCAGUG